GCUAAAAGAGGAUGAUCAUCAAGAGAAACAAGCAAAGAGGAAAGAUCUGUGACUUCCGUCAAGGAACUCUGAGCCCACUGCAAGUUUUCACAUACCCCAGAGAAAGGGUAAGGAAUGGCCAGCGCAUGGAUUUCCAAAUAUUGGGAAGAGCAGGUCUUCUGAAGAGCCAGGUGGCACCUACCCAUCAUGCGGAGCUCAGAUUGCGCGGAUGGGCAAGAGAAUGGAAAACGUGGCCCACAGCAGCUUCGACACGUGGCACAGAGAUUGCAGCUCCGAGGAGGCCGUUUCACCUGCUCUCUCCUCCUCACUCGUUCCUGGCGGUGGCUCCACUUAAAGCUUGGACUCGUGGCUCCAAUCAAGCGAGCGCCCGAAUUCCUAGAGAAUCUGGAAGAAAGGAGAAGAGCGGCCAUUAUGAGAGAGGACACGCUCCAGGUUGGCAAGAUUUGCUUGUGCUCUGUGACCACAUUGCCUCUUCCUGGCAGAAUGGACGUGUUGGUGGUAUUCCCUAACGUUCUUGAGCUCUUGUGUUGAGUCUGGUACAAAAGCAAAUAAAAAUCCCAAAGAGAAAGGAUUGAUGUUUUAU
RNAcentral lists this long non-coding RNA (583 nucleotides) under Anser brachyrhynchus (Pink-footed goose). Its description in RNAcentral is "lncRNA (ENSABRG00000012112.1)". The record is from RNAcentral. Lineage: Eukaryota; Metazoa; Chordata; Aves; Anseriformes; Anatidae.